GACAGAGGGUGCAACCGUUGUUCGGAAUUACUGGGCGUAAAGCGCGUGUAGGCGGCAGGGUGUGUCGGAUGUGAAAUCCCGUGGCUCAACCACGGAAGUGCACCCGAAACUACCCAGCUCGAGUCUCGGAGAGGAAGGUGGAAUGCUUGGUGUAGAGGUGAAAUUCGUAGAUAUCGAGAGGAACACCGGUGGCGAAGGCGGCCAACUGGACGAACACUGACGCUGAGACUCGAAAGCGUGGGGAGCAAACAGG
RNAcentral lists this ribosomal RNA (253 nucleotides) under uncultured bacterium. Its description in RNAcentral is "partial 16S ribosomal RNA". It matches the Rfam family "Bacterial small subunit ribosomal RNA", at positions 524 to 776 of the family's 1533-position model. The record is from RNAcentral.